This is an RNA transcript of Ostrea edulis (European flat oyster), 2243 nucleotides long. RefSeq lists it as uncharacterized. The record is from RefSeq and is a predicted model, not a curated record. The transcript is spliced from 2 exons. NCBI's taxonomy places the organism in Eukaryota, Metazoa, Mollusca, Bivalvia, Ostreida, Ostreidae.
UUCUAUUUUGUGUAACCAGAUGACCUUAAGAAUUGAUUGUAUUAUCACUUAUAUUAGUCUUGCAUUAUCUUUAUCGAUUAUAUUAGCCUUAAUUACCAAUUAUAUUAUUAAAUUUACAAUGUAUGUGAGUGAUGCAGGCCUGUGGAAUCGCACUGAUCAUAUUUAGUCAUUUUAGCUGAUGAAACUAUGUAAGCCACAUUGCAAACAAAUACAUAAAGGUCACCAUGUUUUGUACGACCUUUAUGAGUAAAACUCGCGAUACUGUUAUUCCAGUACCUGCAUCACCCAUAAAUGAUUGGCAGUUGGGACAGUUUUGUUACCAAAAAAUGUACACUACUGCAGCUGCGUUUAUUAUAGCGCAUUAGUGUCAAUAAUGUUAAUCACGUACCCAUUUCAUAUAUAUAUACGUUUGUAAAUACAAACAAAUAUCAUAAUUGAUACACAUAAUAAUUUUUUAAAUAUACAUUAUAAUACGCUAGACAGAUAAAUAUACUUAAGCUUGUACAUUAUAAAAUAGAAUUUAUAGAAUGUGCCCUGCGUGGCACAGUAGGAAAUGUCUUGUUAAAUUUUGAGGGAGCUUAGCCAGGGCCCCAUCCCUGACAGCUGCCCUAUAGUGUACUUUAUUAUUACUAUCAUUAUUGUUAUAGAAUAGGUUCUGUGAAAUAAAAUAUAUAUAUAUUUAAAAAAAAAAAAAAAAAAAAAAAAAAAAAAAUACGUUUGUAAAUUUGUCAAAAGGAGAAGAGAAUAGAACCUGGUAUUGUAUUUGAAUGUUGCUGAGUUUAUGUUAGAAAUAAACUUUGAAACCAACGCGAAUUGAGUAUAGUUAAGACUUUGUUGGUAGAAGUCAGAGUAAUAAGACUUUGCUAGUAUAAGUCUUCAGGUUAAGACUUUGUUGGAAGAAGUCUUAAACAAAUAAUCCGGUUACAUUUGAUUUGUUUUUUUAUCGAGCUUCCAUAGUUUUAUAGCAAAUGACCUAAAUUAACGAUCAGCCAACACAGGAUAUAGUUCGUUAGAUUUUUAUCGAAUAGAUGAUCGAGAACAAGAUAUACGACAAUAUAAAAUGCAAUUAUUCAAUUUCGAAGGAAGGUGAAAUAGGUGUCAAAUAAAUGUAAUUCAAAGCGUCAAGUCAACUGAAUUGAAGUUACGAGGAGCGGAGUAAUCGACAUCCGGGUUGUGAUUUGGUCGUUCAGCACAAAGAUGGAGAAAACGCUGUUUUAUUUGAAGUUGAAAACACAAUUGUUGAACACAGAAUUGGACAUAAAUUCAGAGGAUCUGAGUGAAAUUACGGAGGAUGGAUGGAUCAAGUUGAUGUUCAGCUCUUGGUCAUGUUUUUCCAUGGUUUGGAAUGGAACGACGGCAUGUUCAUCACCAGGCCUCGUGGCUGUAGCGACAUAUUUAGAUGACGUGCAGGGGAAGAAUACAUCCUUUUGUCACCUGGGGCCUCUUCAGAUCCUAUACCCCCCCCCCCCCCCUGGAAAUGUUUUUGCUGUGUUUCCUGCCUCAAUGUCACAUACUCGAGACCAUUUUCAUCAUUGUGGAAAUCAAAGGAAUCACGACGCAACUGGUGAUGGAAUUCCAGGCCGCGUGUAACAAAAUGGAUCGAAAGGUGAUACCAGACACACUGUCGGAGGACAAGUGGAGAGUAGGAGGCUGUCUGUAGAGGAUAUCUUAUCAAGAUCUGGAGUAUUUAUGAUCUGCUUGUGUUUAGUGGGCCUUGAUGCACCAAUUUUGGUCAUAGUUUUCAACAUUCCAUCUAAUGUGUGAUUGGUUGACUUGAAUUCCUUAUCCCGCACAAUGUCAAUAGAGCAACAUAUGUCCUGCAGAUGCCUAUUUAUUGCUGUUCUGAUAUUUUUAGUGUGUUCUUGUGGUAAUAGCCACUUUGUACUUCCAUUAUGUAUCUUGAUUUACUGGAUCCUUUCGGUUUUGCCUCGCAGAAGAAUUUACGUAGCUUGUUAGCCAGAUCAUCAGUUUGCACCGUUUCGAAAUCUAUUGGAAUACCAUAAACCUCUAUGUGCCAAUCUAAAAUUAUAUAACACAUUGUUUAGCUUUUAAAAUUCUUAUAUUUUGUUUGGAUUACACGGAGGGGUUUUAUACUCUUUAUUUGAAUCAACAAGAUUUUUUCUUUUUGUUUUAAUUUUUUUCUAUUUAGACCUAGUCAUCAAUUUUUUUCUUCCGUGUUUCUGAAAUUUUAUUCAAUUCAUGAAAUUCUUGUCUGUUUACAAAAUAAACUAUAUAAAACUGUU